This 473-nucleotide ribosomal RNA is filed under the name uncultured bacterium. RNAcentral's name for it is "bacterial SSU rRNA". It matches the Rfam family "Bacterial small subunit ribosomal RNA", at positions 28 to 507 of the family's 1533-position model. The record is from RNAcentral.
GAUGAACGCUAGCGGCAGGCUUAACACAUGCAAGUCGAGGGGCAGCAUGACACGGAGAUUCGUCGAAGUGUUGAUGGCGACCGGCGCAAGGGUGCGUAACGCGUGAGCAACUUGCCCGUUUCAGGGGGAUAACCGGUGGAAACGCCGACUAAUACCCCAUGGCAUCGUGAUGAGGCAUCUCAUUGCGAUUAAAGAGAUUCGGAAACGGAUGGGCUCGCGGCUGAUUAGCUAGUUGGUGAGGUAACGGCCUACCAAGGCGACGAUCAGUAGCCGGACUGAGAGGUUGAUCGGCCACAUUGGGACUGAGACACGGCCCAGACUCCUACGGGAGGCAGCAGUGGGGAAUAUUGCACAAUGGGGGAAACCCUGAUGCAGCGACGCCGCGUGAGGGAAGAAGGUAUUCGUAUUGUAAACCUCUGUCUUCGGGGACGAUAAUGACGGUACCCGAGGAGGAAGCACCGGCUAACUACGUG